Molecule: ribosomal RNA, 529 nt
Filed under: uncultured bacterium
Lineage: Bacteria
Description: partial 16S ribosomal RNA
Rfam family: Bacterial small subunit ribosomal RNA
Source: RNAcentral
UGGGGAAUAUUGCACAAUGGGCGCAAGCCUGAUGCAGCAACGCCGCGUGAGGGAUGACGGCCUUCGGGUUGUAAACCUCUUUUAGCAGGGAAGAAGCGAAAGUGACGGUACCUGCAGAAAAAGCACCGGCUAACUACGUGCCAGCAGCCGCGGUAAUACGUAGGGUGCAAGCGUUGUCCGGAAUUAUUGGGCGUAAAGAGCUCGUAGGCGGUCUGUCGCGUCUGCUGUGAAAUCCCGAGGCUCAACCUCGGGCCUGCAGUGGGUACGGGCAGACUAGAGUGCGGUAGGGGAGAAUGGAACUCCUGGUGUAGCGGUGGAAUGCGCAGAUAUCAGGAAGAACACCGAUGGCGAAGGCAGUUCUCUGGGCCGUAACUGACGCUGAGGAGCGAAAGCGUGGGGAGCGAACAGGAUUAGAUACCCUGGUAGUCCACGCCGUAAACGUUGGGCGCUAGAUGUGGGACCAUUCCACGGUUUCCGUGUCGCAGCUAACGCAUUAAGCGCCCCGCCUGGGGAGUACGGCCGCAAGGCU